Molecule: non-coding RNA, 642 nt
Organism: Drosophila suzukii
Lineage: Eukaryota; Metazoa; Arthropoda; Insecta; Diptera; Drosophilidae
Source: RefSeq, a predicted model, not a curated record
CCUAUAAAACGGGCAUAAUUAAAAACAUUGAUACUGAUCCGUUCCGAUAAAGCUAAUCAAUUUAACACUUCUCAUAUCAGAAAGGUUGGCAAUUAGCGAACCGCUGAUAAGAUGCAUUCUUGUAGCCAAGAAAGUUCUGGUGGGUUUUUAAUAGCCGGCCUGCAUAAUACCCACUAAAUUGUUCUAAGGUGCCCUCGUUUAAUUCGUUUCAUCACGCCAAUCUUUUCAUUUCAUUCAGGGUCAAAUAGGUCUUCGCACACACAUAUUAUAUAGAUACACAACUUCGUACGUACAACGUACAUAUCUGUACCGUUAUAGCAAGCAGCGUCCAUGUCACUAAAAACACACCAUUAUGUAACUUUGGACCCACCUGCGUUCCUUUGCCGGAUCCCGGCGGCCCCAACAGAAUCGCGUUGAUUCCAAUGUUUUGGGGCUCAUAUCGCUCCACUGGUACUGCUGCAUUCGGCGCCAUCGUCUACUUUUAUGCUCGACUUAUUCUUCGUCCGGUCGUCCGGUUCGUCCGGUCCUAAUUCAUAAACGUAACGUAAAACGUAAGCCAGUGAAAAAGGGAGACAGCCUCAGCGUAAGUGUCAGUGAAAAAGGGAGACAGCCUCAGCGUAAGUGAAAAAAACGGAGCCGAAA